RNAcentral lists this ribosomal RNA (433 nucleotides) under uncultured bacterium. RNAcentral describes it as "partial 16S ribosomal RNA". It matches the Rfam family "Bacterial small subunit ribosomal RNA", at positions 29 to 507 of the family's 1533-position model. The record is from RNAcentral.
AACGAACGCUGGCGGCAUGCCUAACACAUGCAAGUCGAACGAGACCUUCGGGUCUAGUGGCGCACGGGUGCGUAACGCGUUGGAACCUGCCCUUAGGUUCGGAAUAACUCCCCGAAAGGGGUGCUAAUACCGGAUAAUGUCUUCGGACCAAAGAUUUAUCGCCUUUGGAUGGGCCCGCGUUGGAUUAGCUAGUUGGUAGGGUAAAAGCCUACCAAGGCGACGAUCCAUAGCUGGUCUGAGAGGAUGAUCAGCCACACUGGGACUGAGACACGGCCCAGACUACUACGGGAGGCAGCAGUGGGGAAUAUUGGACAAUGGGCGAAAGCCUGAUCCAGCAAUGCCGCGUGAGUGAUGAAGGCCUUAGGGUUGUAAAGCUCUUUUACCCGGGAUGAUAAUGACAGUACCGGGAGAAUAAGCUCCGGCUAACUCCGUG